GAGCCUAGUCCCGUCGCCGGCGGUGCUGCUCACGCGCCGCCACCCUUGCCGCCUUCGCCAUCGGCUCCUGCUGCUGCUAUCCCCCCCCCCCCCCCCACCCACCUCGCGGUGCCCACCAUGGGUAGCACUCCCACCGUCGCAUCGACCGCCGGCACGACAAAAAAAAAGGUACCGGCCUUGACUGUCUUCUCCCCACCUUCACCAAAUCGGGUCACCGGCCCCGCCACUAAUCCACCGUGCGUCUGUGCCUGGGCCGGCCUGCCUUGGCCCCGCAGCAUCGAACAAUGACGUCCUUCCGCUGCCAGGGGCUACCGGCGCGGCGCCGUCCUCCAUCUGUGGAUGGAAACCUCUCCGUCUCCGGCGCGAACGGCCACCACGGAUAGUACUCCCGUCGCCGCAUCGACCGCCGGCACGGCGAAAAAAGUGCCGGCCUAGACCGCCUUCUCCCCACCUUCACCAAAAACAAUAUGAUUGUUUUUCUACGUUUGUCAUGUCCCCUGGUAAUUUGGCUAAUCAUCAAUUUAUUUGACAAAAUAACAUUUUCUGAUGCUUGCUAGCCUUCUUGGGGAACAUCGUGUAAGCAUCAAUACAAUUUCAUUCAUUCUUAUUCAGUUUUAACUAAUGCUCCUGUACAAUUUCAAUAGUAGCUUGGCUUAAUGAUAUGUGAUACCAUAUCUUGAUGGUUCAUAUAAUGCGUAAUUUGAUUAAACUGUACCUUUUCCUGUAUAAAAUCUAACAUCUGUUGUAACCCAUUAUGCUUUGAUUGUGCACCAGCAUAUACUUCUUUGUUUUUUCGUUUCUCAAGCAUUUUAAUAUUCUGGAAAAUACAUCUAGGAUUUUCUUACAAGAUUCAGAAAUUUGGAAUCGAACUAGAUUCAGUUUGUUUGAACCUCAUUGUUCUAUAUCUCACUAAUCCUUGACAAACUCAUAGGAACACUAUUUACUGAAAUCGUCUUGGUGCGGGCCCAGCUGAAAUCGUUGGACAGGACCCUCCCCAUAUUGACCCCUUGCAGUCAUGCGUGCAGAUACCUCCCGGCGCGUUGCAAUCGUCUUAGUUGAAUGACCAGAGGUUCUUUCUAAAGACAAUUUCAAGCACGGUUACAAUGUUGCUACCAUCGAGUAUGAAGACUUGAUGGCUGCCAGUAUCAUUGACCCCACUAAGGUUUGUGACCCUGUAUAGGUUUCCUAUCCUUUUGCAUGAAUACCAGUUAGUUGAUCCUGCAACUUCAUCCAUCAAUACUUCUACCUUACCAUCCCACCUGGCCUGAGCCCGGCAACGCUGUUAGAGUCACCAGUCUUCCUUUCCAAUGUCAUGGUAUGCGCUGUUCUCUAUGUUAUGAUUUCAGUGUGAGAGUGUCCCGGAAUUGUUAUUGCUUUAGUCUAUUGGAUGCUAAAUUGUCAGUUCAAGAAUGUUUGCUUUACUGAACUUUUGACCUCUUCGAAAGUUUGUGAAAGUUCUACUUUGCUUCCAUGAUGUUUUGUUUUCCAGCAUCCAUAGUCUCUUCUUUCCAAACAAGCUGUGAUUGUUUUCUCAAAAGCAAAAAAAAAAAAAAGUGUCAUCCAAAUCUUUCCAUAUUUUUCUCCAAAACAGAAAUAGUAUGAUCAAUUUCCAAGCUUUCCAGAGUAAUCUAGCAAUGCACACCCCACAUCACAGAGCCAAAAUUUGCUCACCCUAUGUCCCUACUUGAAAGACCAACAUAAUAGUUUUUACCGUUGUCGAAACUGAGAUAGGAAAAUUAUGUGUUUGUUCUGUUCUUAUUCGUGUAUAAAUGAAGUAAAGGUAUACAUUGUCUUCAGAGAGAAUGACUAGAACAAUCAUUUCUCACUAUGACACCUCGAUACUGAAUGUUGUGGCUGCAGCCAAACAUCAUACUGUGAUUACUACUGAGGCCGGAGAAUUGUUUACCUGGGGAUUAAAUAGAGAAUGCUCCGAAUGAUGCAAAGGGUCAGCUUGAUUACCCUUCUGUUGAUACCCAAUCGGCACCAAGACGUGUUAGUUAAGGAUAGUUGCAGUAGCUGCUGCAAACAAGCACUCUGCUGCGGUUGCUGAAACCGGUGAAAUAUUCACCUGGGGUUGCAAUAAGGCAGGCCAGUUAAGAUAUGGCACUUCAAACUCAACACCCAAAUGUAUUCCAAGAAUGGUGGAGUACUUGAAAGGGAAACUAUUUAGAGGUGUAUCUGCAGCAAAAUACCAUACUAUAGUGUUAGCAGUUGAAGGUGAGGUGUUCACUUGGGGUCAUGGCCUUUUAUCACAGCAGGUUAACAAUAAUUUGCUUAUGUUCUACUGAUCCUUUGUUUCCUGAUUGCCUCCCAAGCCACUAGAUCAUCUCCAACAAUUUACUUUGCUAAUCUACUAUACACAUCCAUGCUUUUGUAUUUGAUUCAUCUGCCAAUACGCGGUUGCUUUUGUCAUCAAGGAUAGUAUCAACUCAGCCAGCAUCAAUCAAGAUACGGUGUAAAAUUCUGUUAAAUAUGUCUGAAUAUGUGUAAUAAUACCUCUCGAUCAAUUGCAUAAAUACAUAGGAAUAUGUAA
Phragmites australis (common reed) is the source of this 2533-nucleotide long non-coding RNA. RefSeq lists it as uncharacterized. Lineage: Eukaryota; Viridiplantae; Streptophyta; Magnoliopsida; Poales; Poaceae. The record is from RefSeq and is a predicted model, not a curated record. The transcript has 4 exons.